CAAGAUUCUAAAUUCAUACAGACUAGCUAUGCCUUCCAACUGAAUAAAUAUCAGACUUGAGGGCAUAUAUGAGGAGGGUGUGGCAGAAUUCACUUUUGUCCGUCAAAUUCACUAUUAACAUUGGUUAUAAAAUACGCAAAAGUAAGUCUUUACGAGUUUAGUAAAAGCUGAAACUGAUAGUUCUACAGUUUUCCUACUUUCUAGAAUUCUCUGUUUCUGCAAACUUUAACUUAAAAUUACAUUGAAAACAUUGGUUAAAUUCGUUUGUUUACAUUUAUUUCUAAGCAUAAAGUUUUUGGAUUUAUGCAUCUUAUCUAUGUUUAUGUACUCCUUUAUCAGUAGAUUUUAUAUUGACAGAUAGAUUGAGUAUAUAGUUGUUUACAUGUUUAAUCGCGUGGUGAAGCUUCUAGCAAAAUAAAACAUCGAGCGUUUAUUAAUAGUGAAUAGAAAUUAGGCAUAAGAACAACUGAGGCAUUGCACAACUUAUAAAUGUCUACGCGGAAGCUCAUCACGAACUUUUGGUAUUAGUUAUUCGUUACGCUAGUAUUAUACUCUCUUUUCCAUGUUUAUUUCUUUCGCUUGAAGAGUGGAUUAUACACACAUUGUAUCCACUUAUUUGCACAGGAAGUAUUACAAGUGGACCUUUUCAGGUUCGGUCAGUAAGUUUUAACGCAUGCUAUCUUGCAUUUUAAACAACUUUCCCUUUAACAGAAUCACAUAUUGUACGAACUUAUGGGCCUAAAAAUAUACUUAUUUUCUGUCAUAAGUCGUCCAGUAUAAGAUAAUAUAGCAUCAUAAUAAAAACUCAACUGUGGCACA
Schizosaccharomyces pombe (fission yeast) is the source of this 819-nucleotide non-coding RNA. The record is from the annotation of a GenBank genome assembly. Lineage: Eukaryota; Fungi; Ascomycota; Schizosaccharomycetes; Schizosaccharomycetales; Schizosaccharomycetaceae.